Molecule: small nuclear RNA, 103 nt
Filed under: Pteropus vampyrus (large flying fox)
Lineage: Eukaryota; Metazoa; Chordata; Mammalia; Chiroptera; Pteropodidae
Source: RNAcentral
GUGCUUGCUUCAGCAACACAUAUACCAAAAUUGGAACGAUACUGAGAAGAUUAGCAUGGCCCUUGAGCAAGGAUGACAUGUAAACUUGUCAUUUCAUACUUUA